ACCAUCUAUAUUAAAUUUCAAGCUCCCAAGUGGUGGAGCCAUCAUGUAAACUAUGUCAUGGUUAAAUAGCUGAACCAAAAACCACAACUGAGAAAGAAAUGUAGUGAUCAUUUGGAACAGAGCUAGAAAAAAUAGGUUCAACAUUAAAAAAGCCUUAUUGUAAUGAGGUUUUUAUAAUCCUCAAUAGACAUAUAUUUCUUGUUAAAGACUUUGUUAUUUCUUGCAAGCCACAAGGACCAAAGUAUGAUAUAGAAGGAGGAUACUAAAUAAGUUGCAUGACACAUUAGAAGGAUAUAAUUCAAUACAACCCUAAAAGAAAUCAGAUAAAGAUCUAGGAGUGAUCCAAGUAAAAAUCCCAACAUAGAAAAUACUUA
This 374-nucleotide long non-coding RNA is filed under the name Carica papaya (papaya). RNAcentral's name for it is "long non-coding RNA (CPAP_LNC011982)". The record is from RNAcentral. Lineage: Eukaryota; Viridiplantae; Streptophyta; Magnoliopsida; Brassicales; Caricaceae.